GACGAACGCUGGCGGCGUGCCUAAUACAUGCAAGUCGAGCGGAGUUUAUCCUUCGGGGUAAGCUUAGCGGCGGACGGGCGAGUAACACGUAGGCAACCUGCCCCUUAGCCUGGGAUAACUACCGGAAACGGUAGCUAAUACCGGAUAAUCACUUUCCUCGCCCGAGGGGAGGAUGAAAGGCGGAGCAAUCUGUAGAUACGGGAGGGGCCUGCGGCGCAUUAGCCAGUUGGUGAGGUAACGGCGCACCAAGGCGACGAUGCGUAGCCGACCUGAGAGAGUGAACGGCCACACUGGGACUGAGACACGGCCCAGACUCCUACGGGAGGCAGCAGUAGGGAAUCUUCCGCAAUGGGCGAAAGCCUGACGGAGCAACGCCGCGUGAGUGAUGAAGGUUUUCGGAUCGUAAAGCUCUGUUGCCAGGGAAGAACGUCCGGUAGAGUAACUGCUACCGGAGUGACGGUACCUGAGAAGAAAGCCACGGCUAACUACGUGCCAGCCGCCGCAGUAA
Molecule: ribosomal RNA, 508 nt
Filed under: uncultured bacterium
Lineage: Bacteria
Description: partial 16S ribosomal RNA
Rfam family: Bacterial small subunit ribosomal RNA
Source: RNAcentral